UGCUUUUGAUGGGCGUCGACCGGCGCACGGGUGAGUAACGCGUAUCCAACCUGCCCACCACUUGGGGAUAACCUUGCGAAAGUAAGACUAAUACCCAAUGAUAUCUCUAGAAGACAUCUGAAAGAGACUAAAGAUUUACCGGUGAUGGAUGGGGAUGCGUCUGAUUAGCUUGUUGGCGGGGUAACGGCCCACCAAGGCAACGAUCAGUAGGGGUUCUGAGAGGAAGGUCCCCCACAUUGGAACUGAGACACGGUCCAAACUCCUACGGGAGGCAGCAGUGAGGAAUAUUGGUCAAUGGACGAGAGUCUGAACCAGCCAAGUAGCGUGCAGGAUGACGGCCCUAUGGGUUGUAAACUGCUUUUAUAAGGGAAUAAAGUGAGUCUCGUGAGACUUUUUGCAUGUACCUUAUGAAUAAGGACCGGCUAAUUCCGUGCCAGCAGCCGCGGUAAUACGGAAGGUCCGGGCGUUAUCCGGAUUUAUUGGGUUUAAAGGGAGCGUAGGCCGGAGAUUAAGCGUGUUGUGAAAUGUAGAUGCUCAACAUCUGCACUGCAGCGCGAACUGGUUUCCUUGAGUACGCACAAAGUGGGCGGAAUUCGUGGUGUAGCGGUGAAAUGCUUAGAUAUCACGAAGAACUCCGAUUGCGAAGGCAGCUCACUGGAGCGCAACUGACGCUGAAGCUCGAAAGUGCGGGUAUCGAACAGGAUUAGAUACCCUGGUAGUCCGCACGGUAAACGAUGGAUGCCCGCUGUUGGUCUGAAUAGGUCAGCGGCCAAGCGAAAGCAUUAAGCAUCCCACCUGGGG
This 801-nucleotide ribosomal RNA is filed under the name uncultured bacterium. RNAcentral's name for it is "bacterial SSU rRNA". It matches the Rfam family "Bacterial small subunit ribosomal RNA", at positions 76 to 878 of the family's 1533-position model. The record is from RNAcentral.